This 30-nucleotide non-coding RNA is filed under the name Homo sapiens (human). The record is from RNAcentral. Lineage: Eukaryota; Metazoa; Chordata; Mammalia; Primates; Hominidae.
UGUCAAAAGGGAUGUAACAGAUGAAGUGGU